AACUUUGUGCAGUAGCUUUAUCAUAGUCAAUGAGGUUUACCUGAGGUGUGAUUUUUGCUAAUUUGGUCCCUAGAGCUGACUUUGGUUCAAGGUCAAACUGUCAGUGUAUGAUUACA
RNAcentral lists this small nuclear RNA (116 nucleotides) under Heterocephalus glaber (naked mole-rat). RNAcentral describes it as "U4 spliceosomal RNA". It matches the Rfam family "U4 spliceosomal RNA". From Rfam's summary of the family: U4 small nuclear RNA (U4 snRNA) is a component of the major U2-dependent spliceosome. The structure of U4 snRNA from yeast and human has been reported. The record is from Rfam by way of RNAcentral. Lineage: Eukaryota; Metazoa; Chordata; Mammalia; Rodentia; Bathyergidae.